CUGGAGGGCAGGAGACUUACUAAGGGUCUUUCCUCCCUGGGUAGAAGGGUUGGCUGGCCCUGUUUUGGCCGUCUGCCGUUUGGCCGGGUCAAUAGUGACCCUAGGCAGAGAGGAAGAGCAGCAAGAGGUUAAAGGACACAAGAAGUUUAUGGACGUCACAGAAACGAGGACAACGGUGAAAACCCAUGUAAAGAGCGAUGAUGAUGAUGAUAAUGAGGAUGAGGAGGAGGAGGAGGAUGAGGAUGAGGACACCAGAGCUGACUGACAUGAGGCUCCAGGUGAAGAUGAGGAUGAUGACGACAGAGAAAAACAACCGUCUACCACUCGGCCACCAGAGGGCGCCACGAGCCCUGCAGCUCCUCCGCCUCUGAGAUAAACUAGAGCAGAGCCUCCUUCGCUUUCACCACAAGAACAUUCGGUCUUUAAGGAACUCGGUGUUUUCACAGCCUCUUUAAUCCGACCCGUGAGAACAAAGACUGAACUGAAACCAGCGGUUUUUCUGUGUCUGUCUUUGGUAAAAUGGGACAUUGAGACCAGACCUCAACUGUCUGAUAGUUGUUCAUGACCUGCAGAAAACUGUUAGUAGUGGCUGAUGAAUCUUUUCUUUAAAUACUAAAAUAUAACUAUUUUUUAAAUACAUUUUAUUCACAAAUAAUGAAUUAAUCAAACGUGAUUUCUAUCAAAGACAUAUCAAAUUUAAGAAAAUCUUAUUGUGUGUAAUUAAUUAAGAUGAUUUUACUAUAUCCUGUAGUUAAUUAGCGUACGAGCUAACACGUCCCAGUCCAGUCUGAAUGUAAACAGACAUUAAUUAACCCAGUUCCCUGUUCGUUAGCUAUAACUAAAUAAACUCUAGUGGAGUUGAAUCUAAAACUUUCACAAGCACCAGAUAAAAAAAAGGGAAGGUGGUGAGCAACGUCUUCAAUAAUAAUAAUAAUAAUAAAAAAAGAUUUAAAUACAUUUUAUUCACAAAUCUAACUCAUGAAAAUCCCAUUUCAAAUUUAUGAGUGUAUUUAAUUAGGAUGAUUUUACUAUAUUCUGGUCUAACUUCAGUGAAUUGUGCCGUGACUAUAAUUACUAACGAUACGACACGUAUCACGAUACUCGAGUCACGAUACAUUAUUGCGAUAUUAUGAUAUUGCAAUAUAUAUAGCAACUAUAUACAUUUGACAAAUUGAAUCAAAAAUCAACAUGAAUCCAAAGGAUCCAUUUACAGUUAAGUGAACUUAAACAAAAUGUUGUGGUGGAAGUUUUUUUUUUCCUUUUCUUUGUAUCGGAAGAAAAAGUAUCGCGAUAUAUCGCCAUAUCAAUAUUUUUUUCCCACCCUUAGUAAUUAGAAAUAUAUGUGUAUUUUAUUUAUAGUAAAGUGUCACCAUUCAUACAUUGAAUUAACAUGCACGUCUAUGUGAGAGGAAGCGCAGCAGAAACAGGAAGAACGUAGGAAAGAUCCCCAGAAGGAAAGAACCCACAACCUUAAUGAUGCUAAACACCGCUAACAGCGUUAGCCUCGAUGUCGAGGAAUUUUUAAAAAACGAUCAGAUCGGUAUCAGGAUCUGGCAUGAACCAAAACCACGUGGCUGUAGCGUCAAAUCAUCUAAUUGUUCUUUAAAGGAGAUUAUUAAUUAAGGACAACGCUGCAGAAAAUCCGAAGAAGAAGAAGAAUCAAAAUCUGAAAUUAAGCAACGAGGAUGUUUGGUUUGGUGAGGUGGCAGCAGGAGAUCGUCACACGAAACAAAACUCGAUUUCGCCACAAAAAUAAAGCAACAAACACGAAGAGGAGGCAGCAUCAAGGUGGAAAAUCUUGCAGAGAAGGUGCAGAACAUUUCUCCACGAUAAAGAAAAAUUAAAAAUUAAAAAAAAAAAAAGCUGCAAAGUCGACAAAAGAAUCUUCCACCGAAGAAAUCUGGUUUAAACUUUUUAAAUUCCUGCAAGUGUCUGUAAUGAAUGGCUCUUUUCCCUCUGCACUGGGGAAGAUGAAGCUACACGAACACGUCAAUGUAGAUAAAAAGCUGUGUUUAAAAUAAUAAAAAAAUAAAAUAAAAUAAAAUAAAAUAAACACACACACACACAAACAAAGCUCUUUAUGGCUCAGAAACAGAAGAAAAUAAAUUAAUCGUUCCUGCGCCAUAAAGAGUCUGUUUUAUGGAGAAUAAUGCAGCAGGGGUUUUGUUUUAAAACACCACGUCUAACAUGAGAAUCAUUAACAACAAUCUUUGUGGUGAGAGAACAAACCACAAUCGAUGGCAGCUGAGAGAAGCCCCCCUCCCUCCCCCUUCCCUCCCAUCCCUCCCCCUCCCCACGCAUGCACUGGCGAUUGAUUAGUGGCAAGCUGCGUUGUUUGUUGCUGUUGGUUAAUCGACUGAUUGUUCCCAAUCAUCGCUUAUCCACUCAGACCAACCACAGCGACGCCGGGUCCGUUUACACACACACACGGGGACACGAGUUGAAACCGGAUUAAUGCAAAAAUAACGUCUAGAGAAUCCAACGUCGUCUGCCUCAAGAAACAUCUUCACUUGUCUUUGUAUCUGUUUUAUUUAAACUCUCUUAAAGGGAACAUUUUGAUAUCAGGGCUGGAUGUAAAUCAGCCUUCAGACUGUUAGCUUAGCUUAGCUUAGCAUAAAAGGGGGGAAAACGGUUUAGAUCUGUCAGAAAAGUAACGAAAUGCAGCCUUUACACCUUUAUUUUAUUCAUUUAAAGCCUCCACAUGUGUUAAAUUUCACCUGUUCAUGAGACAGUGUGAGUUAAAGACGAUUAAAGGCCUUUUUGAGACGAUUAUGGGUUAAAUUUAAGUACUAAAAUAAGGAAAAUGGUAAUAAAUGGUAAUAAAUGCAUGUAAGGAUUUAAGACUAAUUUACGAUUUAAGACUUUUUAACCCCUUAAAUUGGGAUUGACAAAUUUUAGACUGUGUUGUGGAGCCAGUUUUUGACUCUCCACUAACUGCAACUUCCUCGUUUGUCAUGUGAUGCACUUUGGCCCAUAACUCUUGCUUGCUCGCUCCAUUCAUGUGUGCAAAGGACACUUGAAUGAGAAUUACUCCAGGGGCUUAAAACCGUGGAUUUCAGCUACAUGAACGCCCUCAAAAAACCAGCUCAACUGGGAGUUGCAGCUCUUCCGCCGUCGAGCGAACACGUCCCAGUCCAGUCUGAACGUAAACUGACCUUAAUAAACCCU
Long non-coding RNA from Mugil cephalus (flathead mullet), 3168 nucleotides. RefSeq lists it as uncharacterized. The record is from RefSeq and is a predicted model, not a curated record. The transcript is spliced from 2 exons. Lineage: Eukaryota; Metazoa; Chordata; Actinopteri; Mugiliformes; Mugilidae.